AUACGUUCAGGGGAAGUCUCUAAAGCAAGGGUAGUGUGUAUAAAUCCCCGUCGCAGAACAUUAACCUUCAGUUGUGUGUACACACACACACACACACACCCUAUAUAGUUGUAACCUAUAUAGACUUUCACACAUCCUAAGUUAUUUGCAAGUCUAGAUUUAAAUUAAGUCUACAUAGCAGGGAAUAGAAAAGUGAGCUGUACCUGGAAAAAACCUUUGAACACAGCGUUCUUGAUACAAGAUUUAGGAUUUGAAAGACAUGGCACAUGUACACACAGAUGACAUUUGUGCUGCCUUGGCAAAAACAGUUCUUUACUUCCAGAGUUCUUUCUCUUUAGUAUGGGACACGAUGAAACAGCACAAUUUUCAGGAGUCCACAAUUCCAGCGAGGCGCGUGGAUGGGAAAUUGUCACGUUGUGAAUUGUGUUUGUGCUUUGCUAAAUCGCCACCCGGAGCUGACUGUCAAAUCCUAUUUGCUUUGCUAAAUAAGGAUAUCUCAUCAAAUUAGCCUUUAAUGAUACUUCUACAAAUAGGGUGUUUUACAUGAAUUAACGAGGCCGGAACACUGACUGUUUCUCCAAGAUACUGAGCUAUAAUGGAGGCGACGAAGCCGAAUGUUAAAAUUACUGAAUUGUUAAGUGUGCAAAAUCAGACAGAAUUUAGUGCUAAAUGUGAAACAAUUUCUGCUUUAAUGGUGAGCAUUCGCAACAGCACAAGCAUUACUUAUAUUCAGCCGUCUGAAACUGUGCAUGUAAUUAUGAAUACAUUUAACAAACUUUAACCCCCCUCUGAGUCUGGAAACAGUCUAGUAUGGUGAAGAGAUUAUAAAUCAGCAUUUUGCAGUGAGAAGUCAUCAUUAAUUCAGCAAAGAAUCACAGCUUCUUUUCAGAUCCUUCCCACCACCCUCCUACACACCCCCCUCAACCAAUAAGGAAAAAAAAAAUUCAGCAUGGAACUGCUGGAUACACUGAAUAUAUUUUGGCUUUUCUCUUUUUGCCUCUGUGUGAGAAACUUCAUUAAGCAGUUGCUGUUCCCUCCCCACCCCCGCUAACCCCCAAAGAAGUGUGGAUUUAAGAAAAAAAAAAACAAAAAACAAGCAACUUUGAAUUUUGUUCUUAGCAAUCCCCAAGCCAUAGCUGAUCUCAGAGAGGCAAAAAAGAUGUUUCAAUAGAAAAGAAUACGGUAUGGCCAGGAGUAAAAUAUUUAGAGGUGGUUCUGCAAUGAAUAUGAUACUUCCUUAAAAAUAAAAUAUAUGUUGGUGAUUCAAACCAAUGAAAGUUGGAAAAGUCCCUCCAAGGGAACACUCUCUCUGUUUCCCUUCCCAGCAACCCCCCAACUUAACGUUAUGAACAGAAAGAUGGAAAUUCUUGCCAGAUCAACUAUAGCCUCCUAACGAUCAGCUCACCCUCCUUUAAUUUUGAUUGUGGAGCAAAUACAGCUAUUUUAGCCAUGAGGAUAAAAAUGAGUGCAGUGAAAAGUUAAGGCAAACUUGGUACUUAAAAUCACUCACCAGAAUAAAGUGCGUGUACAAACAAAACAUUGCUGAUCAGUUACUUUAAGCAGGCAUUUUCUUUCUCGCCUGAGCACCCCAAACACAGAAAAAUGUAGAGUUCUUUUUGCUUCUUGUAUCUGGAGCAGGUGAAAAUAAACCCUGACGCUCACAAACAUGAUAUAAACAACAUACUUUUCAGGCCUAGUAGCCAAGCCGACUUUUCAGGGAAAGAGAUGGACGUUGAAAGAAUUUAGGAGUGGACUUGGGGUUCCCUCCAUCACCCCAUGCCCAGCUGACCCCUUCUGCCCUUCUCAUGACCUCUUUUCAAAGCAGCCAGUGUUCAGAUGCUGCCUUUCCAGCGUCCCCAGUUGUAGGGGACAUAUGCACAUAUUUACCAAGC
RNAcentral lists this long non-coding RNA (1892 nucleotides) under Homo sapiens (human). RNAcentral describes it as "non-protein coding MIR193BHG:25". Lineage: Eukaryota; Metazoa; Chordata; Mammalia; Primates; Hominidae. The record is from RNAcentral.